RNAcentral lists this ribosomal RNA (254 nucleotides) under uncultured bacterium. RNAcentral describes it as "partial 16S ribosomal RNA". It matches the Rfam family "Bacterial small subunit ribosomal RNA", at positions 524 to 775 of the family's 1533-position model. The record is from RNAcentral.
UACGUAGGGUGCAAGCGUUAAUCGGAAUUACUGGGCGUAAAGCGUGCGCAGGCGGUGAUGUAAGACAGUUGUGAAAUCCCCGGGCUCAACCUGGGAACUGCAUCUGUGACUGCAUCGCUGGAGUGCGGCAGAGGGGGAUGGAAUUCCGGCGUGUAGCAGUGAAAUGCGUAGAUAUGCGGAGGAACACCGAUGGCGAAGGCAAUCCCCUGGGCCUGCACUGACGCUCCAUGCACGAAAGCGUGGGGAGCAAACAG